GAUGAACGCUUGCGGCAGGCUUAAUACAUGCAAGUCGGACGGUAACAGGGUCUUCGGACUGCUGACGAGUGGCGGAUGGGUGAGUAACGCGUAUGCAACCUUCCUCACACCGAGAAAAAGUCGACUGAAAAGUUGAAUAAAGUCUCGUGGUGUGCAUUUCUCGCAUGAGAGAUGUAUGAUAGAAGCAAUUUGGUGUGAGAUGGGCAUGCGUAUCAUUAGCUAGUUGGUAAGGUAACGGCUUACCAAGGCGACGAUGAUUAGGGGGCCUGAGAGGGUGGUCCCCCACACUGGGACUGAGACACGGCCCAGACUCCUACGGGAGGCAGCAGUAGGGAAUAUUGGUCAAUGGGCGGAAGCCUGAACCAGCCAUGCCGCGUGAUGGAUGACGGCCUUAGGGUUGUAAACAUCUUUUCUGCUAGAGGAAUAGAGUUCACGCGUGGACAGACGACUGUAUAGCAGGAAUAAGGAUCGGCUAACUCCGUGCCAGCAGCCGCGGUAAUACGGAGGAUUCGAGCGUUAUCCGGAUUUACUGGGUUUAAAGGGUGCGCAGGCGGGCUCUUAAGUCAGCGGUGAAAUGUCUGGGCUUACCCUAGGAAUUGCCGUUGAUACUGGGAGUCUUGGAUAAGCAUAAGGACGGCGGAAUGCGUAGUGUAGCGGUGAAAUGCUUAGAUAUUACGUAGAAGACCAAUUGCGAAGGCAGCUGUCUGGGUCUUUAUCGACGCUCAAGCACGAAAGCGUGGGGAGCAAACAGG
Molecule: ribosomal RNA, 752 nt
Filed under: uncultured Bacteroidales bacterium
Lineage: Bacteria; Pseudomonadati; Bacteroidota; Bacteroidia; Bacteroidales
Description: bacterial SSU rRNA
Rfam family: Bacterial small subunit ribosomal RNA
Source: RNAcentral